UUAAGCGACUAAGCGUACACGGUGGAUGCCCUGGCAGUCAGAGGCGAUGAAGGACGUGCUAAUCUGCGAAAAGCGUCGGUAAGGUGAUAUGAACCGUUAUAACCGGCGAUGUCCGAAUGGGGAAACCCAGUGUGAUUCGUCACACUAUCGUUAACUGAAUACAUAGGUUAACGAGGCGAACCGGGGGAACUGAAACAUCUAAGUACCCCGAGGAAAAGAAAUCAACCGAGAUUCCCCCCAGUAGCGGCGAGCGAACGGGGAGCAGCCCAGAGUCUGAAUCAGCUUGUGUGUUAGUGGAACGGUCUGGAAAGUCCGACGGUACAGGGUGAUAGUCCCGUACACCAAAAUGCACAGGCUGUGAACUCGAAGAGUAGGGCGGGACACGUGGUAUCCUGUCUGAAUAUGGGGGGACCAUCCUCCAAGGCUAAAUACUCCUGACUGACCGAUAGUGAACCAGUACCGUGAGGGAAAGGCGAAAAGAACCCCGGCGAGGGGAGUGAAAAAGAACCUGAAACCGUGUACGUACAAGCAGUGGGAGCACCUUCGGGUGUGACUGCGUACCUUUUGUAUAAUGGGUCAGCGACUUAUAUUCUGUAGCAAGGUUAACCGUAUAGGGGAGCCGCAGGGAAACCGAGUCUUAACUGGGCGUUAAGUUGCAGGGUAUAGACCCGAAACCCGGUGAUCUAGCCAUGGGCAGGUUGAAGGUUGGGUAACACUAACUGGAGGACCGAACCGACUAAUGUUGAAAAAUUAGCGGAUGACUUGUGGCUGGGGGUGAAAGGCCAAUCAAACCGGGAGAUAGCUGGUUCUCCCCGAAAGCUAUUUAGGUAGCGCCUCGUGAACUCAUCUUCGGGGGUAGAGCACUGUUUCGGCUAGGGGGUCAUCCCGACUUACCAACCCGAUGCAAACUACGAAUACCGAAGAAUGUUAUCACGGGAGACACACGGCGGGUGCUAACGUCCGUCGUGAAGAGGGAAACAACCCAGACCGCCAGCUAAGGUCCCAAAGUCAUGGUUAAGUGGGAAACGAUGUGGGAAGGCACAGACAGCCAGGAUGUUGGCUUAGAAGCAGCCAUCAUUUAAAGAAAGCGUAAUAGCUCACUGGUCGAGUCGGCCUGCGCGGAAGAUGUAACGGGGCUAAACCAUGCACCGAAGCUGCGGCAGCGACACUAUGUGUUGUUGGGUAGGGGAGCGUUCUGUAAGCCUGCGAAGGUGACCUGUGAGGGUUGCUGGAGGUAUCAGAAGUGCGAAUGCUGACAUAAGUAACGAUAAAGCGGGUGAAAAGCCCGCUCGCCGGAAGACCAAGGGUUCCUGUCCAACGUUAAUCGGGGCAGGGUGAGUCGACCCCUAAGGCGAGGCCGAAAGGCGUAGUCGAUGGGAAACAGGUUAAUAUUCCUGUACUUGGUGUUACUGCGAAGGGGGGACGGAGAAGGCUAUGUUAGCCGGGCGACGGUUGUCCCGGUUUAAGCAUGUAGGCUGGUUAUCCAGGCAAAUCCGGAUAAUCAAGGCUGAGGUGUGAUGACGAGGCACUACGGUGCUGAAGUAACAAAUGCCCUGCUUCCAGGAAAAGCCUCUAAGCAUCAGGUAACAUCAAAUCGUACCCCAAACCGACACAGGUGGUCAGGUAGAGAAUACCAAGGCGCUUGAGAGAACUCGGGUGAAGGAACUAGGCAAAAUGGUGCCGUAACUUCGGGAGAAGGCACGCUGGUGUGUAGGUGAAGCCCCUGCGGGUGGAGCUGAGACCAGUCGAAGAUACCAGCUGGCUGCAACUGUUUAUUAAAAACACAGCACUGUGCAAACACGAAAGUGGACGUAUACGGUGUGACGCCUGCCCGGUGCCGGAAGGUUAAUUGAUGGGGUUAUCCGUAAGGAGAAGCUCUUGAUCGAAGCCCCGGUAAACGGCGGCCGUAACUAUAACGGUCCUAAGGUAGCGAAAUUCCUUGUCGGGUAAGUUCCGACCUGCACGAAUGGCGUAAUGAUGGCCAGGCUGUCUCCACCCGAGACUCAGUGAAAUUGAACUCGCUGUGAAGAUGCAGUGUACCCGCGGCAAGACGGAAAGACCCCGUGAACCUUUACUAUAGCUUGACACUGAACAUUGAGCCUUGAUGUGUAGGAUAGGUGGGAGGCUUUGAAGCGUGGACGCCAGUCUGCGUGGAGCCAACCUUGAAAUACCACCCUUUAAUGUUUGAUGUUCUAACGUUGGCCCCUUACCGGGGUUGCGGACAGUGUCUGGUGGGUAGUUUGACUGGGGCGGUCUCCUCCCAAAGCGUAACGGAGGAGCACGAAGGUUAGCUAAUCCUGGUCGGACAUCAGGAGGUUAGUGCAAUGGCAUAAGCUAGCUUGACUGCGAGCGUGACGGCGCGAGCAGGUGCGAAAGCAGGUCAUAGUGAUCCGGUGGUUCUGAAUGGAAGGGCCAUCGCUCAACGGAUAAAAGGUACUCCGGGGAUAACAGGCUGAUACCGCCCAAGAGUUCAUAUCGACGGCGGUGUUUGGCACCUCGAUGUCGGCUCAUCACAUCCUGGGGCUGAAGUAGGUCCCAAGGGUAUGGCUGUUCGCCAUUUAAAGUGGUACGCGAGCUGGGUUUAGAACGUCGUGAGACAGUUCGGUCCCUAUCUGCCGUGGGCGCUGGAGAAUUGAGGGGGGCUGCUCCUAGUACGAGAGGACCGGAGUGGACGCAUCACUGGUGUUCGGGUUGUCAUGCCAAUGGCACUGCCCGGUAGCUAAAUGCGGAAGAGAUAAGUGCUGAAAGCAUCUAAGCACGAAACUUGCCCCGAGAUGAGUUCUCCCUGAGACUUUAAGUCUCCUGAAGGAACGUUGAAGACGACGACGUUGAUAGGCCGGGUGUGUAAGCGCAGCGAUGCGUUGAGCUAACCGGUACUAAUGAACCGUGAGGCUUAACCU
RNAcentral lists this ribosomal RNA (2900 nucleotides) under Klebsiella pneumoniae. RNAcentral's name for it is "bacterial LSU rRNA". It matches the Rfam family "Bacterial large subunit ribosomal RNA". Lineage: Bacteria; Pseudomonadati; Pseudomonadota; Gammaproteobacteria; Enterobacterales; Enterobacteriaceae. The record is from RNAcentral.